AGCCGGGGCGGGGGCGCCGGAGCGGAGGAAACAAAAGGCUAAGGCGGCGGCGGCGCCGGGGCG
This 63-nucleotide microRNA precursor is filed under the name Bos taurus (domestic cattle). RNAcentral's name for it is "microRNA bta-mir-11976 precursor (bta-mir-11976-1, bta-mir-11976-2)". Lineage: Eukaryota; Metazoa; Chordata; Mammalia; Artiodactyla; Bovidae. The record is from miRBase by way of RNAcentral.